Molecule: non-coding RNA, 342 nt
Organism: Odocoileus virginianus texanus
Lineage: Eukaryota; Metazoa; Chordata; Mammalia; Artiodactyla; Cervidae
Source: RefSeq, a predicted model, not a curated record
UUGGUGUCACAAUCCUAGGUGGUGAGCAGAGUUGUGUUGUUACUGCUAAUUACACUUCAACAAGCCGUUAUGAGUUUGGUUGACCUCCAGUUUCCAUCUAGCAGUGUGUGAAGCUUGCAAUCUACUCAUCUUAAAAGUCACAGAGAAUGCAUGCUAUGUGCUCAAGAAAUAUUUGUGACUGCAAAGGAGAAGACUUCAUAGCAAAAUAAAAACAAGCAAAAACUCUGAGAAUACUACAAAAUAACCAUGAGAGGUACAUGGAAGAGCAAAACUUUCCCUGCCUGCCACCCUUGUCAAAUCCUUCAGGAAUGCAAAGCAAAUCUUCCUUCAGAAAGACCUAGA